GUCCACGCCGUAAACGAUGGUUACUAGGUGUUCGGCCGUUAUUGGCUGAGUGCCCAAGCGAAAGCGAUAAGUAACCCACCUGGGGAGUACGUCCGCAAGGAUGAAACUCAAAGGAAUUGACGGGGGCCCGCACAAGCGGUGGAGCAUGUGGUUUAAUUCGAUGGUACGCGAGGAACCUUACCUGGGCUAGAAUGCGCGUGACCGACCCUGAAAGGGGUCUUUCUUCGGACACAAAGCAAGGUGCUGCAUGGCUGUCGU
RNAcentral lists this ribosomal RNA (258 nucleotides) under uncultured bacterium. Its description in RNAcentral is "partial 16S ribosomal RNA". It matches the Rfam family "Bacterial small subunit ribosomal RNA", at positions 793 to 1055 of the family's 1533-position model. The record is from RNAcentral.